GAUGAAGAACGCAGCGAAAUGCGAUACGUAAUGUGAAUUGCAGAAUUCAGUGAAUCAUCGAAUCUUUGAACGCAUAUUGCGCUCUCUGGUAUUCCGGAGAGCAUGCUUGUUUGAGUAUCAGUAAACACCUCAACUUCCAUAUCUUUUUUGAAAUGGGAGUUGGACUUGAGUGAUCCCAACGCUUUUCCUCACCGAAAAGUGGCGGGUUACUUGAAAUGCAGGUGCAGCUGGACUUUUCUCUGAGCUAUAAGCAUAUCUAUUUAGUCUGCCUAAAAAACAGAUUAUUACCUUUGCUGCAGCUAACAUAAAGGAGAUUAGUUCUUGUGCUGACUGAUGCAGGAUUCACAAAGACAGGCUUCGGCCGACUUUGUAAACUCGAUCUCAAAUCAAGUGAGACUACCCGCUGAACUUAAGCAUAUCAAUAAGCGGAGGA
RNAcentral lists this unclassified non-coding RNA (433 nucleotides) under soil metagenome. Its description in RNAcentral is "partial contains 5.8S ribosomal RNA, internal transcribed spacer 2, and large subunit ribosomal RNA". The stretch from base 1 to 120 matches the Rfam family "5.8S ribosomal RNA", at positions 35 to 154 of the family's 154-position model. The record is from RNAcentral.